AUUCACUAAGACUCUAAUUAAAAGUGAUUAUUUCAGGAAAAUUAAACACAUUUCAGCAUUGGGAACAGAGGUCAAAAUACAUACACAGUAGGUGACCCUUUUAAUUGUUUCUUUCUUUUGUAGGAAUAUGCGAGCACUGGGUUUACAGAUAUAACCUAUCCACUCAAGGAGACCAAAUUUAAUUUUUGAAAUAAGAGAGGAAUAAGAACUUCUAAUCCACGUGACAGAGUCAGAAACUAUUUGUUUAUCCUUCUGUUUGAUAGGGCAAAAAAACACCUGAUCUUGUUUAGACACAUCUCAAAGUCACUCAUUUAGAAGUUAAUCCUUGAGAUCUGAAUAUGACACUCCUCCUGCCUCUUCAUGAAACAUUAGUUCUCAAAGUGAAUAAAUUCUAAGAAAGAGAUAACUGACUUUAAGAUGAAGAAGAAAUACAUUGCCAAAAUUGUCAUAAACUUUCCAGGCUCAGCAAUUCCUUUAUUUCCUCAAGAAUUGCAUAUUCAAGACCUUGCUUCUUUCAGAUGUUCAAUGAAAUUUCAAGCGGAUUAAUUUCCAUGAAGGCGAGGGCUGUGUCAUGUGUUUCACUCAGUGUCCCCAGAGGCUUUCGUGGUGCUUGGAGCAUAGUAGGUACACAAUAUAUAUAUAUAUAUAUAUUUGUUGAGGAAGAUUGGCCCUGAGCUAACAUCUCUGCCAGUCUUCCUCUAGUUUGUAUGUGGGAUGCCGC
Diceros bicornis minor is the source of this 721-nucleotide long non-coding RNA. RefSeq lists it as uncharacterized. The transcript has 4 exons. The record is from RefSeq and is a predicted model, not a curated record. Lineage: Eukaryota; Metazoa; Chordata; Mammalia; Perissodactyla; Rhinocerotidae.